This 1104-nucleotide ribosomal RNA is filed under the name Pediococcus pentosaceus. RNAcentral describes it as "bacterial SSU rRNA". It matches the Rfam family "Bacterial small subunit ribosomal RNA", at positions 24 to 1088 of the family's 1533-position model. Lineage: Bacteria; Bacillati; Bacillota; Bacilli; Lactobacillales; Lactobacillaceae. The record is from RNAcentral.
ACAGGACAGUGCGGCGUGCUAUACAUGCAAGUCGAACGAACUUCCGUUAAUUGAUUAUGACGUACUUGUACUGAUUGAGAUUUUAACACGAAGUGAGUGGCGAACGGGUGAGUAACACGUGGGUAACCUGCCCAGAAGUAGGGGAUAACACCUGGAAACAGAUGCUAAUACCGUAUAACAGAGAAAACCGCAUGGUUUUCUUUUAAAAGAUGGCUCUGCUAUCACUUCUGGAUGGACCCGCGGCGUAUUAGCUAGUUGGUGAGGUAAAGGCUCACCAAGGCAGUGAUACGUAGCCGACCUGAGAGGGUAAUCGGCCACAUUGGGACUGAGACACGGCCCAGACUCCUACGGGAGGCAGCAGUAGGGAAUCUUCCACAAUGGACGCAAGUCUGAUGGAGCAACGCCGCGUGAGUGAAGAAGGGUUUCGGCUCGUAAAGCUCUGUUGUUAAAGAAGAACGUGGGUAAGAGUAACUGUUUACCCAGUGACGGUAUUUAACCAGAAAGCCACGGCUAACUACGUGCCAGCAGCCGCGGUAAUACGUAGGUGGCAAGCGUUAUCCGGAUUUAUUGGGCGUAAAGCGAGCGCAGGCGGUCUUUUAAGUCUAAUGUGAAAGCCUUCGGCUCAACCGAAGAAGUGCAUUGGAAACUGGGAGACUUGAGUGCAGAAGAGGACAGUGGAACUCCAUGUGUAGCGGUGAAAUGCGUAGAUAUAUGGAAGAACACCAGUGGCGAAGGCGGCUGUCUGGUCUGCAACUGACGCUGAGGCUCGAAAGCAUGGGUAGCGAACAGGAUUAGAUACCCUGGUAGUCCAUGCCGUAAACGAUGAUUACUAAGUGUUGGAGGGUUUCCGCCCUUCAGUGCUGCAGCUAACGCAUUAAGUAAUCCGCCUGGGGAGUACGACCGCAAGGUUGAAACUCAAAAGAAUUGACGGGGGCCCGCACAAGCGGUGGAGCAUGUGGUUUAAUUCGAAGCUACGCGAAGAACCUUACCAGGUCUUGACAUCUUCUGACAGUCUAAGAGAUUAAAGGUUCCCUUCGGGGACAGAAUGACAGGGGGGGCAUGGUUGUCCUCAGCUCUGGUCCUGGAAAUGUUGGGUUAAGUCCC